AGACUUGAUGUUGUCACUGAUGGCGAUGCCGUUCUGGUGGAAUCUGAGGAGAACACCGAUCAAAGAUGGUCCCAGGUUGGGUCCAGCUGCAGUUCAUCUUUGAGGACAUUCCCACCACGGAGUGACUGACCAGUUGAAAGGGAUACAUUUACUCUGACUCAAAAUGAUUUAAAUCAUGGAGGAAGGGAGAGGCAUAUUGUCGGGGACUGAUUCCUUCUGUCAUUUCCUCCAUAUGGUUUAUCAGUGCCAGAUAAAUCACUGUGACAGCCAAACAGAAGCCAGGAAGGCCCCCAGGAGAAUUUAGCAGUACGUCCAACCGGCCUCACAACCGCAGACCACGUGUAACCAUGCCAGCCCAGGGCCUCCACAUCCGGCUUCUUCACCUGCGCGAUUGUCUGACACCAGCCACCCGGACAGCUGAUGAAACUGAGUAGUAUUUCUGUCUGUAAUAAAGCCCUUUUGUUGGGAAAAACUAAUUCUGGUGGACCUGGCUCCCAAGUGGGUGGGCCUUUGCGCUUCAAGGCCCACCCAUGGCUGAUAUCCUGCCUAGUCAUUUUAUAUCGAUAGAUUAAGGCC
Oncorhynchus tshawytscha (Chinook salmon) is the source of this 576-nucleotide long non-coding RNA. The record is from Ensembl. Lineage: Eukaryota; Metazoa; Chordata; Actinopteri; Salmoniformes; Salmonidae.